This 77-nucleotide transfer RNA is filed under the name Buttiauxella sp. 3AFRM03. RNAcentral's name for it is "tRNA-OTHER". It matches the Rfam family "tRNA". From Rfam's summary of the family: Transfer RNA (tRNA) molecules are approximately 80 nucleotides in length. Their secondary structure includes four short double-helical elements and three loops (D, anti-codon, and T loops). Further hydrogen bonds mediate the characteristic L-shaped molecular structure. tRNAs have two regions of fundamental functional importance: the anti-codon, which is responsible for specific mRNA codon recognition, and the 3' end, to which the tRNAs corresponding amino acid is attached (by aminoacyl-tRNA synthetases). tRNAs cope with the degeneracy of the genetic code in two manners: having more than one tRNA (with a specific anti-codon) for a particular amino acid; and 'wobble' base-pairing, i.e. permitting non-standard base-pairing at the 3rd anti-codon position. Lineage: Bacteria; Pseudomonadati; Pseudomonadota; Gammaproteobacteria; Enterobacterales; Enterobacteriaceae. The record is from RNAcentral.
ACCGGUUUAGUUCAGCAGGCAGAACGGCUGAUUGCAAAAUCAGAAGGGCGGUGGUUCAACUCCAUCAACCGGUACCA